ACGGCAAUAUUACAUUGAAUCACCGGUUCUCGUGCGAUCACCGAAGUUAAGCAGCAUAAAUCCUGGUCAGUAUCGAGAUGGGUGUCCGUUUUGGUAUCCAAGGUGUUGUAAG
Molecule: non-coding RNA, 112 nt
Organism: Acanthosepion pharaonis
Lineage: Eukaryota; Metazoa; Mollusca; Cephalopoda; Sepiida; Sepiidae
Source: the annotation of a GenBank genome assembly